UGAGUAAUGUCUGGGAAACUGCCUGAUGGAGGGGGAUAACUACUGGAAACGGUAGCUAAUACCGCAUAACGUCGCAAGACCAAAGAGGGGGACCUUCGGGCCUCUUGCCAUCAGAUGUGCCCAGAUGGGAUUAGCUAGUAGGUGGGGUAAUGGCUCACCUAGGCGACGAUCCCUAGCUGGUCUGAGAGGAUGACCAGCCACACUGGAACUGAGACACGGUCCAGACUCCUACGGGAGGCAGCAGUGGGGAAUAUUGCACAAUGGGCGCAAGCCUGAUGCAGCCAUGCCGCGUGUGUGAAGAAGGCCUUCGGGUUGUAAAGCACUUUCAGCGAGGAGGAAGGUGGUGAGCUUAAUACGCUCAUCAAUUGACGUUACUCGCAGAAGAAGCACCGGCUAACUCCGUGCCAGCAGCCGCGGUAAUACGGAGGGUGCAAGCGUUAAUCGGAAUUACUGGGCGUGAAGCGCACGCAGGCGGUUUGUUAAGUCAGAUGUGAAAUCCCCGGG
This 504-nucleotide ribosomal RNA is filed under the name uncultured bacterium. RNAcentral's name for it is "bacterial SSU rRNA". It matches the Rfam family "Bacterial small subunit ribosomal RNA", at positions 107 to 607 of the family's 1533-position model. The record is from RNAcentral.